UCUUUCCAUCCCCCUCACAGGUCACACGGGUGGGGGUGGUGGCAGAAACGUCGUGUGUGGUUGAAGUGGGCGGUCAAGAAUUGCGGUCCACUACCAAGCUGCGGGUGCGGCCAAGAACCUCCUCCUCCUACCUCUCCAGCUAUUUCUCUGCCGCAGGUAUGAUCAGUCGUCCCACCACCCAACUCAUGAUCCUCAGCGCCCUCCUACUGCUGCGGUAGGGCGCCUGACGUGGAGUAGAACUGGAAUAAACAGCCGCAGGAGAGACAGCCGCAAGAGACAGCGGUAGGAGAGACAGCCGCAAGAGACAGCCGUUGGAGAAACAGAAGCCAUGAUAGGACAAGCAAUACAGCCGCAGGAGAGACAGGAGCCGUGAUAGGAUAAGCAAUACAGCCGCAGGAGAGACAGGAGCCGUGAUAGGAUAAGCAAUACAGCCGCAGGAGAGACAGGAGCCGUGAUAGGACAAGCAAUACAGACGCAGGAGAGACAGAAGCCUCUAUCUGCCUGUUACACCAAUUGUGAAGAUUGGUGGCAGUGGUGGCAUUCUACCUUCACAGGCGUCAUCAGAAAACAACCACACUAACCACAAGCACACCAUCCACAACCACACCAACCACAACCACAGCAUCCACAACCACACCAACCACAACCACAGCAUCCACAACCACACCAAUCGCACCCACAGCAUCCUCAACCACACCAACAACCACCACAAGGACACCACACCAUCAGAGCAAAAAAGGGUAAGUAUCUACAAGAAGAAGCUGGUCUUCCACUCUCUUCCUGACAGCCGCCGCAACACCACAGACGAGGAACUAAUACCCAGCACCAUAAAGGAACUCUCUUCUUGUCAAUAAACGCUUCUUCUGUGUGUGUGUGUAGUGAAGCUUACCGCCACGAUCCAUCUGAUACCUCGUGCUAGCGAUGUGUAAGGACAGACCGAAGUUACCCUAGCCACCUUCCUGACCUUUCAGAAGAAACUACGUAUUCACAGCUGAUAAAAUUGUUUCUAAUUGUUUCUUUAGUCUACAGAAGAAGCUAGCUUUUUUUUUUUUUUUUUGUAGCCGCUGUUAAAUCUGUUCUUGAUGACUUCCACCGCUGGGAUCACUCACAGAAGGAAGGGGAUCUCUGUAGCCUGUGACUUGUGGCAGAAGAGCGUGAUCAAAGUCCUCGGAUUCAGGAACUUACACACACACACACGUAAAUAGAAGUCAUUCUUUCUUCUUUAUGCUUACUAUUCUAUUCCAUUACUUCUAUUAUUUCUUCAUCUUGCUUUUCUUGACCUUCAACUCUCUCUUGUCUUAUUUCUUCUUCAUUUCUUCCAUCUUGGUUCCUGUUAUUCGUCUGUUCUUCUCAGUGAACGCAAUAAACAGUAAACACAAUAAAACCUGAUAACUGUGUGAGAUUCUGAAACAAAAUGAUAAAGAGAAAGGAAAAAUAAUCUCUUAUUCCUAAAUGUGUGAUAAUAAUAUAAAUAAUUCUGUUUAUAUAUCAAUGGAAACAAAAUCAGGCGUCUUUACUAAGCGCAAGUGAGCGACGUCUUAGAUCAAGUUGUAUAAUAGAAAUUGUUGUUAUAAUUAAGAGAUAUUUGUUGUUGUAAAUAAGAGUACUGGUGGAUAUGCUGUACGUAUAUAAAACACUACCAGGAAUGUUUAUAAGCCAAAGAAACUGUCUCAAAUAAGAAAUCGUAGACACUUGAAGCUAUGGUCUCAAAUAUGGCAUAGCAUCCUAGUACGAUCUCUGUACUGUGUAAAAUCUGUAUCAUAAUAGUACGUAAUUAUGUGAGAUAUUUAUGUAUGAAUAUUUUAUGAUCAAUUUUAUAAGUUUCUGACUACGUUUGACUAUUGUACCCAGUUGGAGAUGUCCUAGAGUGGUUAAAAUAUGAGGGAGUGUUCGCGGGCAUUCUCAAAUCAACCUCAUCUCAUUUUGUUCGUAUAUAUAUAUAUAUCUGUAAAGUGACUCAAAAUUUAUAGAUAAAACCUCCUUUUAUUUUAUAUUUAGAAAUGUUAAUUAUUAAGGACACAGAGUUCGUAAAUAAACAGUUAAAAAUAUAA
Homarus americanus (American lobster) is the source of this 2051-nucleotide long non-coding RNA. RefSeq lists it as uncharacterized. The transcript is spliced from 2 exons. The record is from RefSeq and is a predicted model, not a curated record. Lineage: Eukaryota; Metazoa; Arthropoda; Malacostraca; Decapoda; Nephropidae.